AAAGACCCAAGCUGAUAGAUACCGGCGUAAAGAGUGGUUAAGUAUCUUGAUAGAACUAAAGCCGAACGCCCUCAAGACCGUUAUACGUUUCCGAAGGUAUGAAGCCCAACUACGAAAGUAACUUUAACUAUAUCCGACUCCACGAAAGCUGCGAAACAAACUGGGAUUAGAUACCCCACUAUGCCCAGCCCUAAACUUUGAUAAUUUAUUACACCCAUUAUCCGCCUGGGAACUACGAGCUUCA
RNAcentral lists this ribosomal RNA (244 nucleotides) under Mugil cephalus (flathead mullet). Its description in RNAcentral is "partial small subunit ribosomal RNA". The record is from RNAcentral. Lineage: Eukaryota; Metazoa; Chordata; Actinopteri; Mugiliformes; Mugilidae.